CAGCCUGCCCAGUGACAAUAGUUUAACGGCCGCGGUAUUUUGACCGUGCAAAGGUAGCGCAAUCACUCGUCCUUUAAAUAGGGACCUGUAUGAAUGGCCAAACGAGGGCUUAACUGUCUCCCCCCUCUAGUCAGUGAAAUUGAUCUAUCCGUGCAGAAGCGGAUAUAAAAAUACAAGACGAGAAGACCCUUUGGAGCUUUAGGUACAAGAUUUAAAUCACACCAAAUAAACCAAUAAAAGUAAAUUAACCCAGUGAAAAAUAAACCUUUACCUUCGGUUGGGGCGACCACGGAGUAAAAAACAACCUCCAAGAGGAACGGGCACAGCCCUAAAACCAAGAGAAACAUCUCUAAGCCUCAGAACAUCUGACCAAAGACGAUCCGGUCUUUUAAACCGAUCAACGAACCAAGUUACCCUAGGGAUAACAGCGCAAUCCUCUCUAAGAGUCCAUAUCGACGAGGGGGUUUACGACCUCGAUGUUGGAUCAGGACAUCCUAAUGGUGCAGCCGCUAUUAAGGGUUCGUUUGUUCAACGAUUAACAGUCCUACGUGAUCUGAGUUCAGACCGGGA
RNAcentral lists this ribosomal RNA (570 nucleotides) under Danio kyathit. Its description in RNAcentral is "partial 16S ribosomal RNA". It matches the Rfam family "Bacterial large subunit ribosomal RNA", at positions 1854 to 2621 of the family's 2925-position model. Lineage: Eukaryota; Metazoa; Chordata; Actinopteri; Cypriniformes; Danionidae. The record is from RNAcentral.